Alosa sapidissima (American shad) is the source of this 237-nucleotide long non-coding RNA. RefSeq lists it as uncharacterized. The record is from RefSeq and is a predicted model, not a curated record. NCBI's taxonomy places the organism in Eukaryota, Metazoa, Chordata, Actinopteri, Clupeiformes, Clupeidae. The transcript is spliced from 2 exons.
GUUUGAACUGUCCAGUUCAUUUUCAGCAACAGUUCAGUCAGACCAACGGGGGUGUUCAGCUCUCUGUCAAGUUCACUUCUCCUUAAUGGUGCCACUUCACUCUGCUACUGGAUGGUGGAGGGCUAACUGCGAACGGGUGGUCUAUGAAUGCUAUACUGAAUGGAUGGCAGGGAAGCACAACACACGUGAAUUUCUAAAUGAAGAAGAGUUAAUAAAUGCACUUGAUUUUCAAACUGA